This 1398-nucleotide ribosomal RNA is filed under the name uncultured bacterium. RNAcentral describes it as "bacterial SSU rRNA". It matches the Rfam family "Bacterial small subunit ribosomal RNA". The record is from RNAcentral.
AGAGUUUGAUCCUGGCUCAGAUUGAACGCUAGCGGGAUGCUUUACACAUGCAAGUCGAACGGCAGCACGAGAGAGCUUGCUCUCUUGGUGGCGAGUGGCGGACGGGUGAGUAAUAUAUCGGAACGUGCCCAGUAGCGGGGGAUAACUACUCGAAAGAGUGGCUAAUACCGCAUACGCCCUACGGGGGAAAGGGGGGGAUCGCAAGACCUCUCACUAUUGGAGCGGCCGAUAUCGGAUUAGCUAGUUGGUGGGGUAAAGGCUCACCAAGGCAACGAUCCGUAGCUGGUUUGAGAGGACGACCAGCCACACUGGGACUGAGACACGGCCCAGACUCCUACGGGAGGCAGCAGUGGGGAAUUUUGGACAAUGGGGGAAACCCUGAUCCAGCCAUCCCGCGUGUAUGAUGAAGGCCUUCGGGUUGUAAAGUACUUUUGGCAGAGAAGAAAAGGCAUCCCCUAAUACGGGAUGCUGCUGACGGUAUCUGCAGAAUAAGCACCGGCUAACUACGUGCCAGCAGCCGCGGUAAUACGUAGGGUGCAAGCGUUAAUCGGAAUUACUGGGCGUAAAGCGUGUGUAGGCGGUUCGGAAAGAAAGAUGUGAAAUCCCAGGGCUCAACCUUGGAACUGCAUUUUUAACUGCCGAGCUAGAGUAUGUCAGAGGGGGGUAGAAUUCCACGUGUAGCAGUGAAAUGCGUAGAUAUGUGGAGGAAUACCGAUGGCGAAGGCAGCCCCCUGGGAUAAUACUGACGCUCAGACACGAAAGCGUGGGGGAGCAAACAGGAUUAGAUACCCUGGUAGUCCACGCCCUAAACGAUGUCAACUAGCUGUUGGGGCCGUUAGGCCUUAGUAGCGCAGCUAACGCGUGAAGUUGACCGCCUGGGGGGUACGGUCGCAAGAUUAAAACUCAAAGGAAUUGACGGGGACCCGCACAAGCGGUGGAUGAUGUGGAUUAAUUCGAUGCAACGCGAAAAACCUUACCUACCCUUGACAUGUCUGGAAUGCCGAAGAGAUUUGGCAGUGCUCGCAAGAGAACCGGAACACAGGUGCUGCAUGGCUGUCGUCAGCUCGUGUCGUGAGAUGUUGGGUUAAGUCCCGCAACGAGCGCAACCCUUGUCAUUAGUUGCUACGCAAGAGCACUCUAAUGAGACUGCCGGUGACAAACCGGAGGAAGGUGGGGAUGACGUCAAGUCCUCAUGGCCCUUAUGGGUAGGGCUUCACACGUCAUACAAUGGUCGGGACAGAGGGUCGCCAACCCGCGAGGGGGAGCCAAUCUCAGAAACCCGAUCGUAGUCCGGAUCGCAGUCUGCAACUCGACUGCGUGAAGUCGGAAUCGCUAGUAAUCGCGGAUCAGAAUGUCGCGGUGAAUACGUUCCCGGGUCGUGCACUCACCGCCCGUCAA